GGGUCCGGAAAAAAUCCGGAGGGUUUUUAGAUGGUCGGGCCACCAUCU
RNAcentral lists this non-coding RNA (48 nucleotides) under Deltaproteobacteria bacterium. Its description in RNAcentral is "Li+-I sequence". It matches the Rfam family "nhaA-I RNA". From Rfam's summary of the family: Acidobacteria, Alphaproteobacteria, Betaproteobacteria and Gammaproteobacteria, Verrucomicrobia, cand. division NC10. Downstream gene Lineage: Bacteria; Pseudomonadati; Myxococcota; Myxococcia. The record is from RNAcentral.